CUAGGUGGCAGAGUGGUGAUGCAGCGGCCUGCAAAGCCGUGAACGUGGGUUCGAUUCCCGCCCUAG
RNAcentral lists this transfer RNA (66 nucleotides) under uncultured Halorhodospira sp. It matches the Rfam family "tRNA". From Rfam's summary of the family: Transfer RNA (tRNA) molecules are approximately 80 nucleotides in length. Their secondary structure includes four short double-helical elements and three loops (D, anti-codon, and T loops). The record is from RNAcentral. Lineage: Bacteria; Pseudomonadati; Pseudomonadota; Gammaproteobacteria; Chromatiales; Ectothiorhodospiraceae.